This 449-nucleotide ribosomal RNA is filed under the name uncultured bacterium. RNAcentral describes it as "partial 16S ribosomal RNA". It matches the Rfam family "Bacterial small subunit ribosomal RNA", at positions 29 to 523 of the family's 1533-position model. The record is from RNAcentral.
AACGAACGCUGGCGGCAUGCCUAACACAUGCAAGUCGAACGAGACCUUCGGGUCUAGUGGCGCACGGGUGCGUAACGCGUGGGAACCUGCCCUUAGGUUCGGAAUAACAGUUAGAAAUGACUGCUAAUACCGGAUAAUGUCUUCGGACCAAAGAUUUAUCGCCUUUGGAUGGGCCCGCGUAAGAUUAGGUAGUUGGUGGGGUAAUGGCCUACCAAGCCGACGAUCUUUAGCUGGUCUGAGAGGAUGAUCAGCCACACUGGGACUGAGACACGGCCCAGACUCCUACGGGAGGCAGCAGUGGGGAAUAUUGGACAAUGGGCGAAAGCCUGAUCCAGCAAUGCCGCGUGAGUGAAGAAGGCCUUAGGGUUGUAAAGCUCUUUUACCAGGGAUGAUAAUGACAGUACCUGGAGAAUAAGCUCCGGCUAACUCCGUGCCAGCCGCCGCGGUAA